Paramisgurnus dabryanus is the source of this 447-nucleotide non-coding RNA. Lineage: Eukaryota; Metazoa; Chordata; Actinopteri; Cypriniformes; Cobitidae. The record is from RefSeq and is a predicted model, not a curated record.
CGCGAAGAACCGUCUCUUCCUGUCAGACGGAAUGAAGAAAUAUUGGUCGAAAGAUAACGAAACAGUUAAAUAUAGUGAUGCAUGUUGUCACAAUAUAAGGACAGGAAACAAUCAUUUGUACGGUCGGACACGUCACCGGUCUGAGCUGUUUUGGGACCAACUCCCUGUGUCUACAUGGUUAGGGCUAUGAUUACACAUCAGGGAAAAAACGUCAUGUGACCACUUCGCAUCAGCUUUUUCUUGCCCACGUUUGUGCCUUUGAUCCUGAGCCGCUCUUCAUGGCCGAUGAAUGGAGCGCUGUGCUGACUCACGUCUCCCCUUCAGAAAGCUGUCAGUCAGAACCGCUGUGUCAGCCCGACGGUCAUUACCCUGUGAUCGAUUCGGCCUGACCGCAGAGCCUCUGAUGCAUCACCGCAGGAGUCUUUGUAGCCCUUCCAGGUGUAAUGU